Non-coding RNA from Lolium perenne, 1548 nucleotides. The record is from RefSeq and is a predicted model, not a curated record. NCBI's taxonomy places the organism in Eukaryota, Viridiplantae, Streptophyta, Magnoliopsida, Poales, Poaceae.
UUUUCCCCUAUACUGCUGCCCCUGCAGAAGUCGCUCACCUAUUUUAUUUUGCCUUCUCCCUUAUGCUAUCCUUGAGUUGCGUUCUUGUCACGUGUCCCUUCCACUUGUUACCUCAAGCAGCCUAUAUUGCCUCCACCAACUACCUACAGCUAUUGUUUGGUUAUCGGGUCUGCCUUGCGAGUCGUAGUGCAUGCUAGUGCUGUUAUAUCUCGUUAACGUUGCCGCUAUCUUAACGGUUAUCUGUUGGGAAUCAUGACACAUGCUACAUGGUUAUAUCUGUUGAGGGAAUCAUGGUUACUUGUUAAUAGUUGUUAGCGGAGGCAUCGGUGGGUCAGUUGCUCGUUUUAUGAUGGCUCACUUGUGUUUCCAUGAAAUCUAGGACCCCGAGUUCUUUUUAUCUGUUCCGAGACUGAGCGCUCUAACCACACGUGGGUAUGUUUCUGGGUCUCCCCUCGACCACUGCCAGAAUCUACAGCUUUGUCCAGUGGCCGCAACUAGUUUGCUAUGUUUUACCAUUUGUUGUUUGCGUGCAUGCCAGCUUGUUACUUAUUUACUUUGGGAAGCCCCUGGGUGCCUUGUAUCCCUUGUUUCUGGUAUGCACGUAUAGGUCGCGGAGCCUCUGUGAAGUGGUUUAUCGCCCCAGUGUGUGUUUAAACCACCUAUCACGCUAGCGCACAUAGCUAAGUCCGCUUCGGAGAUACGGCCGGACUUCGAUACGGGUUCAACUUGGUUAGGUGGAUUCCUGGACAUUGUUGUAGUGAAGGAGAGUGCGAGUCGUGAUAUUCACCUGUUGCAAGUGGGUUGAUCGUGCGUGUGGGCACAUUUGGGCACCCCUGCAGGGUUACAUCUUAUCGAUAAGCCGUGUCCGCGGUUAUGGACGACUUGGAGCUGUAUGACUCGACCAUAGACAACUUACACUUGCUGUUUCAAUCAUAAUAACUUGCGUAGUAAGUUAGCACAACUCUAAUAAUAAAUGGUUAAAACUUGACAACCGUGUGAGUGCCCUUGUAAGUAGUUCCUUGCGAGGGGGGAACACAUCGGCCGUGUUAUGUUUACAGAGUAUAGAACUGUUAGUUGUGCGCUCUCUCACCUUCUCUGAUUAGACGACUGUUGGAGAGUGUCUCUAUAGGUUUUUAGUGCUUGCGCGCUGCCGCUUAACCCCACCAUAUUGCCUAUGACGUUCCUCUUGCGUCCUCUAAGUCCCCUGCGUGCCUCAAGUACAAAGGACGACUGGUUGACGAAUGCUUCUACGUCUUGAAGUCUUGUUAAGUACGAACCCGUACUUAUUGCUGCUUCUACGGGAUAUAACCGGGCAGGUAUGAAGAUCGGUACGAUGAAGAACGACGCUAGCAAGGUUACCCUUCCGGCUUGGCCUGGGCAGGGUUAUGGACGCCACUGGUUAUCUUCAAGACUCUUAGUCCAAAUUUGUAUCUUGUCCGUACUCGGAUGUAUUUGAUCUUCUGUAUGAUUUGGAUCUUUGUAUGUAUCUAUUUGUAUCUUGACUCGUUGGAGUCGUUGUUGUAAUAUAUCUGUAUCUUGUGGGCUCUA